RNAcentral lists this ribosomal RNA (475 nucleotides) under uncultured organism. RNAcentral's name for it is "partial 16S ribosomal RNA". It matches the Rfam family "Bacterial small subunit ribosomal RNA", at positions 333 to 799 of the family's 1533-position model. The record is from RNAcentral.
ACACUCCUGCGGGAGGCAGCAGUGGGGAAUAUUGCACAAUGGGCGCAAGCCUGAUGCAGCCAUGCCGCGUGUAUGAAGAAGGCCUUCGGGUUGUAAAGUACUUUCAGCGGGGAGGAAGGCGAUAAGGUUAAUAACCUUGUUGAUUGACGUUACCCGCAGAAGAAGCACCGGCUAACUCCGUGCCAGCAGCCGCGGUAAUACGGAGGGUGCAAGCGUUAAUCGGAAUUACUGGGCGUAAAGCGCACGCAGGCGGUCUGUCAAGUCGGAUGUGAAAUCCCCGGGCUCAACCUGGGAACUGCAUUCGAAACUGGCAGGCUAGAGUCGUGUAGAGGGGGGUAGAAUUCCAGGUGUAGCGGUGAAAUGCGUAGAGAUCUGGAGGAAUACCGGUGGCGAAGGCGGCCCCCUGGACAAAGACUGACGCUCAGGUGCGAAAGCGUGGGGAGCAAACAGGAUUAGAUACCCGAGUAGUCCCAUG